CGCAUCUUGCACUCCUUGGUAUUCCGAGGAGUAUGCCUGUUUGAGUGUCGUGAAUACUCUCAAGCUUGACCUUUUUUUCAUUAAGGAGGUCAUAGUUUGGAUUUGGAUGUUGCUGCGGUUGAACUACCGCAGCUCGUCUCGAAAUGUAUUAGCUGGUCCACCGCGGUCUAUUAUAAAACUCUAUGGUGUGAUAAGAACACAAAUUCUUUGUAGCGCUAUGGUGAAUAGACUUGCUGGGAUGUGACUGCUUCUAAUAGUCCAUUGACUUGGACAAUAUCACUUUGUUAUCUGACCUCAAAUCAGGUAGGACUACCCGCUGAACUUAA
Molecule: unclassified non-coding RNA, 326 nt
Filed under: Sphaerobolus sp.
Lineage: Eukaryota; Fungi; Basidiomycota; Agaricomycetes; Geastrales; Sphaerobolaceae
Description: partial contains 5.8S ribosomal RNA, internal transcribed spacer 2, and large subunit ribosomal RNA
Source: RNAcentral